RNAcentral lists this long non-coding RNA (434 nucleotides) under Coccomyxa subellipsoidea. Its description in RNAcentral is "long non-coding RNA (CSUB_LNC000739)". Lineage: Eukaryota; Viridiplantae; Chlorophyta; Trebouxiophyceae; Coccomyxaceae. The record is from RNAcentral.
CACUGUAAAGGUUGAUGAAUGCAUUGCAGCUGCUGCAGCAGACUCCAGCGUGCUGAGCUGCCGGUGGACAGUUUUUUCCAGAUGGCACUGGGGUCACAAUGGCUCCCAGAGGGACCCCCAGGCGGCUGGUGGAGUGGCGCUCAUUGAACACCUUUUGGCACAGAUUGGUCUUAAAUUACCUCUGGCCUCAAUCCUUGGCGAGUGUCAUCACUACGUAUCAUACACAUUCCAGAACCAUCGUUGCACUGGAAAUUUUUUCCUGCACAACUCGACUUCAGACAUGCAACAAGUCGAGGGAAUGAUGGACCCACCGUGGUCGAGCUCAUGGUAACGAUGCUGCUGCUCACUCUGUGGUCUCCUUUACGACUGUCCGAAGUAGAGGCUCUCGUGUGCCGCUGCUUUGUCACUGGUGCUAGCAAUGGUUUAGAUCGGGC